This 497-nucleotide ribosomal RNA is filed under the name uncultured bacterium. Its description in RNAcentral is "partial 16S ribosomal RNA". It matches the Rfam family "Bacterial small subunit ribosomal RNA", at positions 28 to 507 of the family's 1533-position model. The record is from RNAcentral.
GAUGAACGCUGGCGGCGUGCCUAAUACAUGCAAGUCGAGCGAACAGACGAGGAGCUUGCUCCUCUGACGUUAGCGGCGGACGGGUGAGUAACACGUGGAUAACCUACCUAUAAGACUGGGAUAACUUCGGGAAACCGGAGCUAAUACCGGAUAAUAUAUUGAACCGCAUGGUUCAAUAGUGAAAGACGGUUUUGCUGUCACUUAUAGAUGGAUCCGCGCCGCAUUAGCUAGUUGGUAAGGUAACGGCUUACCAAGGCAACGAUGCGUAGCCGACCUGAGAGGGUGAUCGGCCACACUGGAACUGAGACACGGUCCAGACUCCUACGGGAGGCAGCAGUAGGGAAUCUUCCGCAAUGGGCGAAAGCCUGACGGAGCAAAGCCGCGUGAGUGAUGAAGGUCUUCGGAUCGUAAAACUCUGUUAUUAGGGAAGAACAAAUGUGUAAGUAACUAUGCACGUCUUGACGGUACCUAAUCAGAAAGCCGCGGCUAACUACGUG